This 468-nucleotide ribosomal RNA is filed under the name uncultured bacterium. RNAcentral's name for it is "partial 16S ribosomal RNA". It matches the Rfam family "Bacterial small subunit ribosomal RNA", at positions 28 to 507 of the family's 1533-position model. The record is from RNAcentral.
GACGAACGCUGGCGGCGUGCUUAACACAUGCAAGUCGAACGGAAAGGCCCUGCUUUUGUGGGGUGCUCGAGUGGCGAACGCGUGAGUAACACGUGAGUAACCUGCCCUUGACUUUGGGAUAACUUCAGGAAACUGGGGCUAAUACCGGAUAGGAGCUCCUGCUGCAUGGUGGGGGUUGGAAAGUUUCGGCGGUUGGGGAUGGACUAGCGGCUUAUCAGCUUGUUGGUGGGGUAGUGGCUUACCAAGGAUUUGACGGGUAGCCGGCCUGAGAGGGUGACCGGCCACAUGGGGACUGAGGUACGGCGCAGACUCCUACGUGAGGCAGCAGUCGGGAAUAUUACACAGUGGGCGGAAGUCUGAUGCAGCAACGCCGCGUGUGUGAUGACGGCCUUCUGGUUGUAAACCGCUGUCGCUUGUGACGCAGCGUGAGUGACGGUAAUGGGUAAAGAAGCACCGGCUAACUACGUG